AUACGGAGGAUGCGAGCGUUAUCCGGAUUUAUUGGGUUUAAAGGGUGCGUAGGCGGAUGAUUAAGCGUGAGGUGAAAUGCCACUGCUCAACAGUGGAACUGCCUCGCGAACUGGUUGUCUUGAAUGCUCCUGCCGUGGGAGGAAUGUGUGGUGUAGCGGUGAAAUGCAUAGAGAUCACACAGAACACCGAUUGCGAAGGCAUCUCACGAAGGGGUGAUUGACGCUGAGGCACGAAAGCGUGGGGAUCAAACAGGAUUAGAUACCCUGGUAGUCCACGCAGUAAACGAUGAUAACUAACCGCUGGGUCGUAGUGAUUCAGUGGCCAAGCGAAAGCGAUAAGUUAUCCACCUGGGGAGUACGACCGCAAGGUUGAAACUCAAAUGAAUUGACGGGG
Molecule: ribosomal RNA, 394 nt
Filed under: uncultured bacterium
Lineage: Bacteria
Description: partial 16S ribosomal RNA
Rfam family: Bacterial small subunit ribosomal RNA
Source: RNAcentral